AUGCACCUGCAAAACCUUCUUUCUAGAAGGAUAAUACAUGUGUGUUCCAGUGCUAUGAGACUUCAAUGGGAAAAAAAAAAAAUCCUACAUAAAGCCCCUCUAACGCUCAGGAGACUUAUUACUAGCAUCCUUAUCAAGUCUAACCUCAGCAAUGGGCCAUGCAAGAAAGUAACUGAAGGAAGAGCUAUACCGUCUCCAGUGGAAGAGCAGAGAAGAAAGAUCCUCCUUGCAGUUGCUAGCUGUCCUUAG
RNAcentral lists this long non-coding RNA (249 nucleotides) under Struthio camelus australis. RNAcentral's name for it is "lncRNA (ENSSCUG00000013456.1)". The record is from RNAcentral. Lineage: Eukaryota; Metazoa; Chordata; Aves; Struthioniformes; Struthionidae.